Molecule: ribosomal RNA, 538 nt
Filed under: uncultured bacterium
Lineage: Bacteria
Description: partial 16S ribosomal RNA
Rfam family: Bacterial small subunit ribosomal RNA
Source: RNAcentral
UGGGGAAUUUUGGACAAUGGGGGAAACCCUGAUCCAGCCAUCCCGCGUGUGCGAUGAAGGCCUUCGGGUUGUAAAGCACUUUUGGCAGGAAAGAAACGUCGCGGGUUAAUACCCCGCGAAACUGACGGUACCUGCAGAAUAAGCACCGGCUAACUACGUGCCAGCAGCCGCGGUAAUACGUAGGGUGCAAGCGUUAAUCGGAAUUACUGGGCGUAAAGCGUGCGCAGGCGGUUCGGAAAGAAAGAUGUGAAAUCCCAGAGCUUAACUUUGGAACUGCAUUUUUAACUACCGGGCUAGAGUGUGUCAGAGGGAGGUGAAUUCCGCGUGUAGCAGUGAAAUGCGUAGAUAUGCGGAGGAACACCGAUGGCGAAGGCAGCCUCCUGGGAUAACACUGACGCUCAUGCACGAAAGCGUGGGGAGCAAACAGGAUUAGAUACCCUGGUAGUCCACGCCCUAAACGAUGUCAACUAGCUGUUGGGGCCUUCGGGCCUUGGUAGCGCAGCUAACGCGUGAAGUUGACCGCCUGGGGAGUACGGUC